RNAcentral lists this unclassified non-coding RNA (253 nucleotides) under uncultured Trueperaceae bacterium. Its description in RNAcentral is "contains 16S-23S intergenic spacer region". It matches the Rfam family "Bacterial small subunit ribosomal RNA", at positions 524 to 776 of the family's 1533-position model. Lineage: Bacteria; Thermotogati; Deinococcota; Deinococci; Trueperales; Trueperaceae. The record is from RNAcentral.
UACGGAGGGUGCGAGCGUUAUCCGGAAUCACUGGGCGUAAAGGGCGCGUAGGCGGUCUGUUAAGUCCGUUGUUAAAGACUGGGGCUCAACCCCGGCACGGCAGUGGGUACUGGCAGGCUGGACGGCUGGAGAGGCGAGUGGAAUUACCAGUGUAGCGGUGGAAUGCGUAGAUACUGGUAGGAACACCCAUGGCGAAGGCAGCUCGCUGGACAGCUCGUGACGCUGAGGCGCGAAAGUGUGGGGAGCAAACCGG